Molecule: ribosomal RNA, 510 nt
Filed under: uncultured bacterium
Lineage: Bacteria
Description: bacterial SSU rRNA
Rfam family: Bacterial small subunit ribosomal RNA
Source: RNAcentral
UUUCCGCAAUGGGCGAAAGCCUGACGGAGCAAUGCCGCGUGGAGGUAAAAGGCCUACGGGUCAUGAACUUCUUUUCCUGGAGAAGAAACAAUGACGGUAUCCGGGGAAUAAGCAUCGGCUAACUCUGUGCCAGCAGCCGCGGUAAGACAGAGGAUGCAAGCGUUAUCCGGAAUGAUUGGGCGUAAAGCGUCUGUAGGUGGCUUUUUAAGUUCGCCGUCAAAUCCCAGGGCUCAACCCUGGACAGGUGGUGAAAACUACUAAGCUAGAGUACGGUAGGGGCAGAGGGAAUUUCCGGUGGAGCGAUGAAAUGCGUAGAGAUCGGAAGGAACACCAAUGGCGAAAGCACUCUGCUGGGCCGACACUGACACUGAGAGACUAAAGCUAGGGGAGCGAAUGGGAUUAGAGACCCCAGUAGUCCUAGCCGUAAACGAUGGAUACUAGGCGGCUGUGCGUAUCGACCCGUGCAAUGCUGUAGCUAACGCGUUAAGUAUCCCGCCUGGGGAGUACGUU